Long non-coding RNA from Amphimedon queenslandica, 1035 nucleotides. RefSeq lists it as uncharacterized. Lineage: Eukaryota; Metazoa; Porifera; Demospongiae; Haplosclerida; Niphatidae. The record is from RefSeq and is a predicted model, not a curated record. The transcript is spliced from 2 exons.
GUAUAUUCCGACCUACGGUAGUUCCAAAAUUGGGUGCAGUCAUUUAAUAAUAUCACGUGAUGGUGAUUAGUUAUAAUUGUAGCUUGUAUUCCGCAUUGUGCAAUGUAAAUUAAACAGUUCAGAAUUAAAAUACCAGUUUAAUGACCUUAAAACUUUUCAAUGCUUACAUCUACAUGUAGCUAUAAUGCAUGUACCAUAGUAUGUACUGAUACAUAAUGCUAAUUCAAUUGCUAUACCUUAGGUUACCUUAAGGAGACAAUUAUUCGUGUGUACUUAUUUUAGCGAUUUUCAUGAUACCGACAUUUGGCUGGUAUUUUAUUUAGUGUUUUCAACAUUUUAAUAGUAACUAUUAAUAAUUUAAUCAAAAAUUAAAGUUAGUGCAGACUUAAGUUAGCGAUUUUUCAAAAAUAGCUAAAAUUUGCUAAAUUAAAUACCCGCUAAAAAUUGUCUCCUUAAGGUAAUUUUACAUUCAUAUAUUCUUAUUCUUAAUCUUAGGUUUGUAUCAAAAUUUUAAAAAUCACAAGCACAUAGUAGCAGUAAGUAAACACUUGUGUGGAUCAGCAACUGAUUUAACUCUUAGAUGUCUAACCAAAUACCAUUUGGAACGUUUAACAGUCAUGCCUCCUUUAGCCACACCUCCUUUAUCUGGCAUUAUAAUAGCACUAUGCUGUCAUCAACGCUGUCAAUGGGAUAGUAUAUAUGGAAUUGAGCUAUGGAAAGAACUGGGGUUCAAUUCAAUUGACUUCCACUUGAUAACACUAAUGAGUAGCUGGGCAGUAUGUGGUCAGCGAUCAGCAGAUAAAGAUACUAAAGGUUACAUUCCUCACGCUAAAGAACCAAUGGGAUUAAAAUGUAAGGAGCUAAUUAAUCUAAUACGUGUACAUGAACUACGCAAGAACGGUUUCCAAACUCAUCUCUUGUAUUAUGUGGAUAGGAGGACUUCAUUAGAGAAUGUGUUAUUGAUAGCUCUACCUCAUUAAUAUUCAUGCAUGGGCGUGGCUCAUGAAUUUCUUAAUUAUAUUCAUUGAUUGUAAA